This 207-nucleotide ribosomal RNA is filed under the name uncultured bacterium. RNAcentral's name for it is "partial 16S ribosomal RNA". It matches the Rfam family "Bacterial small subunit ribosomal RNA", at positions 568 to 774 of the family's 1533-position model. The record is from RNAcentral.
UGCGUAGGCGGAACUGCAAGUGUUUUGUGAAAUCCCUCGGCUUAACCGAGGAAUUGCUUGGCAAACUGCAGUUCUUGAGGCAAGUAGGGGUGUGUGGAACUCUUGGUGGAGCGGUGGAAUGCGUAGAUAUCAAGAGGAACGCCGAAGGUGAAGACAGCACACUGGACUUGUUCUGACGCUGAGGCACGAAAGCGUGGGGAGCGAACA